Ailuropoda melanoleuca (giant panda) is the source of this 1774-nucleotide long non-coding RNA. RefSeq lists it as uncharacterized. The transcript is spliced from 3 exons. The record is from RefSeq and is a predicted model, not a curated record. Lineage: Eukaryota; Metazoa; Chordata; Mammalia; Carnivora; Ursidae.
UAAAUAGGAACUUAUAUUUUCCUCAUCAGGUCUGGAGACCAAAAGCUGUGUGCACACUGUGAAUUAAAAAAAAAAAGAAAAGAUGAAUUAGAAACAUGUAUAUCCAUUCUAACCUCUGAGAUCUGCCCCUGAUUUCCUUUCAGGACCAAUAUUUUGAGAGGUAUGUGUGCCUGUGGCUUUACGUAAGGUUCACAAAAAAGGCCAGGAGGCUCCUCAUUCCACUGAAGUCAAAGGCUUGGUCACCACGGGAGCCCUUGCCUCGAGAAGCCCCUUCAGUUAAUUCCAGGCAUACCAUUCUAUAUUAAGCCUUCUGCAAUCCAGCCUGAGACGGACACUCUGGGAGAAGAAGAAUGCAGCCAUGUCCUGAGCACUGUCUCUGAAAGAGGCUCCUUCUGAGAAGGGAGUUCAAAGGCAUCAAAGACCGUCGACGUUAUCAGAAAGCAGUCUCCAUAAUUUGAUGAAUGAACUGUGCACCUUAUUUGGAGGCAUGAGGCUCGGGCACAUCUUUCAGGACAUGAGGCAUCACGGGGCAGUGGUGAAGAUCCAGGCUCGAGAACGUUCAAAUUCUGACACUGCUGUGUGACCUCAGUUUGAUGUACUGGCCAUUAUGUAUUAGGAAAAGAGUGAAAGUGGAUUCUGUUUGACAUUUAUCUGUGUGUCAGAUGCUCACAGAGGCACAGAACAUGUUCUGAGGCUUGUGGCCGGGGGUCAGGGCCUGGAAGUCUUUUUGGCAUGGUGAGCAGCCUGGCCCUCCGCCCCAGUGCUUCUGCAGCAAACCUCUCCCUGGGACCCACGAAGGACACUGACAAUUGGCGCCCUGAUUACUAAUGAAGUACUUAAUCUUCUGAGAGCCCAGAACAGCAAGGACAUCAUUGUAAAAGCCUGAAGCCUGAGUACCAAUCCAUUCCUGGGAUCCUCUCUUACCAAGAAAAAUUGCUUGAUGGUGUCAAAGAACACAAGCCCACGAAACGUGAUCACGUCUACACUGAGACUUUCCAAUCAAUCAAUUAGAAGAAGGACACCUGAGGAUGGCAGCCUUGGACAGGCAGCAUUUCAGUUCUAGGCAGGAGACCACCAACAGUCCGGCCCCGUCGUUGGCAGGAACCUGCUUCGCUCAGGAGGCUGGAAGCAGAAGCUUAACGGAGUUGGCCACUCAGGGUUGCUGAAGAAAGUGAAAUGCUAAGUAGCCAUCAGAAUUGUCUCAAUCUUGCCCAGGGCGACUGUCCAGCCUAUUUUAGAGGAGGGAGUCCAUUUUUCUUUUGAAGAGGAGGGUUUUAGAGUCUACUGCCUUCCUUCCAAGCCUGGCGGACACGGUGGACGUAAGACUAGCCCCUGCCUGUGCUGGCAAGCCUGAUGUGGGAGUCGGGGGUGCUCCUCAUCAUUCCCAGUCUUCCUGCUGCCCCGACUGGACCAGCCUUUUCCAGAGUCUAGAGGGCGUCCUGUGAAUGGUCCCUUGACUGUAGACGUGGUGAUCCACCGGGCAGGGUGUAUGGAGGUAAGCUAGCUGACCCACGGCAGGAGAGCACCUGUUGUCUUUCCCAACUCAACUCUGUGCCAACUGGGGGAUCCCUGCCUCACGGUCCUCUACUUCCAGACAACUGCCUAAACGGCACCCGGGAUGUGGGGGGUUCUGAUCUUGUCCCGCGCCAGACUGAGGUGGGGGAGAGGGAAAGGAGAGAGAGGGAUGACGCUUCCUCACAGAGUGGGGCUGAGCAGGCAGAGCUGGCCGGCCUAUUUGGGAGAUCACAUGCCUCCCUGCCAUGCUAUCCCACGA